GGGGGUGUACUGGUUUCGACGGGAUUGUGGGCGGUCAGGUAAGCGAGCCGUGGCCCCGAGCCACGUAAAAAUCGGGAAAUUAAAAAUGAACUGACAAUAACGAUUAUUGCCUCGCGGCCUAAUUAGGCUGCGCGUCGGCCCGAUGAUCCCGCUGCAUCGGAAUCCGGCGUCAUUUAGCGGGCCAUGUUCCUGCCUAAGCUUUGCAGCAUGAACACAUUAUGAAGCUACUGAAUCCCUGAGCCCGUUCGUGGGCGCUGGGAAGAGGGAAUGUUAAAACGCGAACUGCGCUCGGAGAAAGCUCGGCUGUCGCUUUUUCGGACAGGAGUUCGAUUCUCCUCACCUCCACCA
Molecule: transfer-messenger RNA, 348 nt
Filed under: Clostridiales bacterium
Lineage: Bacteria; Bacillati; Bacillota; Clostridia; Eubacteriales
Also listed under: 4 other names
Rfam family: transfer-messenger RNA
About the family: Bacterial tmRNA, also known as 10Sa RNA or SsrA, is named for its dual tRNA and mRNA-like properties. Its role is to liberate the mRNA from a stalled ribosome.
Source: RNAcentral